Eriocheir sinensis (Chinese mitten crab) is the source of this 2507-nucleotide long non-coding RNA. RefSeq lists it as uncharacterized. NCBI's taxonomy places the organism in Eukaryota, Metazoa, Arthropoda, Malacostraca, Decapoda, Varunidae. The record is from RefSeq and is a predicted model, not a curated record. The transcript has 5 exons.
UUUCUGCCUUUCUCCUUCUCCUCCUUGUUCUUCUUCUUUUGUAUCAUUUCUUAGGUUUUUUCAAAUUUAUCUUCCUUUAUUUAUCUCCUUUAAUUCUUCUCUUUUCUCUCAUUUCUACCUUUCUCCUUCUCCUCCUUGUUCUUCUUCUUCUUUUGUAUCAUGUCUUAGGUUUUUUCAAAUUUAUCUUCCUUUAUUUAUCUCCUUUAAUUCUUCUCUUUUCUCUCAUUUCUACCUUUCUCCUUCUCCUCCUUGUUCUUCUUCUUCUUUUGUAUCAUGUCUUAGGUCUUUUCAAAUUUAUCUUCCUUUCUUUUCUUUUCUCUCUUGUUUCUGGCUCAUCCCUUCCCCUCCUCCUCUUCCUUUUUCUUCUUCCUCUGUCGAUCUUUGCAUAUUAAUCUUCCUUUCCUUGUAUCCUACUAUGUAUUCUUCUCUCCAUUUCUAGCUUAUCCCUUCUCCUCCUCCUCCUGUCUCCUUUACAUCUCUGAGUCUUUGUAACAUUUCUUAGAGCUUUGCACUUUUAUCUUCCUUCCUUUGAGGCCAUUUAUUAUUAGUGUCAUUUUUUUCUCUCUGUUUCCAGCUGUCAAAUAGGAGUGUUUAUAUGUGGUUCACUCAGUUAGUCAGUCAGUUAGUCUGCCACUCAGUCCAUCAGUCAGUUAGUCAGUCACCCAUUGUCACUGGUCCGCUCAACAACAACACAAGUCACUACACCAUUCACACACACACACACACACACACUAUGUCCUCUUGUGUACCACCAGGAACACAGACGACAUAGUAAAAAAUUGAGGAAGGGAAGAUGCUUGAGACAUAAAGAAAUAUAGCUUCCCACAAAGAAAUAUAGAGGUUAGGAACAGACUAAGUGAGGAUGUAGUAUCGGCGAGGAGUGUGCAAAGCUUUAAGGAAAAGUUGGAUAAAUGUAGAUAUGGAGAUGGGACCACAUGAGCGUAAAGCCCAGGCCCAGUAAAACUACAACUAGGUAAACACACACACACACACACAGGAGCCUCACCACCUCACCAACUAACAACAGGACAAAAGACAUCGGCUAUUCUCAGUGCUAUAAUAAUAUGAGAUGUCUAGUGUGACCUUGACCUGGAUUAUUUGUGGCACUUAACACAUUUAGUAGUAGUAGUAGUAGUAGUGGUGGUGGUGGUAGUGAUUGACCUAAAUAUGGCAACUUUUUAUUUCUUCUAUUAUUAUUAUUAUUAUUAUUAUUAUUAUCAUUGGACUAACUUGAUUUAUAAGUGACAUUACUACUACUCUUAUUUAUAGUAGUAGUAGUAGUAGUAGUAGAAGUGACAUUAAUUUAUAAAGACAAAUAGCAAGUUUUUUUGUAUUAUUAAUAUUAUCAUCAUCAAACACAACCUGACUCAGUAAUGGCAACACUUCAAACAUCAUAUUCAUCUUCCUCUUAUUAUUAUUAUCAUUCCUCUUUCUUAAGCGUUUGGCCUUCACAAUUCACAAGCUUUUAAUUCAAGUCAAUGCUCUUUCUUCUCUCUCUCGGCUGUUAGCUAAAGAGGUUCACACAUUAUCAUAUGAGGAAAUGAUGAUGCUUAACUUGACCUUUCCUAUAUAUGAUAACAGGAUAUUAGUCUUUCUUUCUGUCUGACGUUAUUCUUUCUUUCUUUCUUUAACCCGUCCGCUGCAAUUGUCACGGAUUUUGCCUUCGUUGGUAGCCUGGUAACAUACACUCCCAGGUCUUUCUCUGCCUCUGUGGUGGAUAGUGGAGUGUUUCCCAUGUGGUAUUGGUGUGCUGGGUAUCCCUUCACUGGUAGCCUGGUAACAUACACUCCCAGGUCUUUCUCUGCCUCUGUGGUGGAUAGUGGAGUGUUUCCCAUGUGGUAUUGGUGUGCUGGAUAUCCCUUCACUGGUAGCCUGGUAACAUACACUCCCAGGUCUUUCUCUGCCUCUGUGGUGGAUAGUGGAGUGUUUCCCAUGUGGUAUUGGUGUGCUGGGUAUCCCUUCACUGGUAGCCUGGUAACAUACACUCCCAGGUCUUUCUCUGCCUCUGUGGUGGAUAGUGGAGUGUUUCCCAUGUGGUAUUGGUGUGCUGGAUAUCCCUUCACUGGUAGCCUGGUAACAUACACUCCCAGGUCUUUCUCUGCCUCUGUGGUGGAUAGUGGAGUGUUUCCCAUGUGGUAUUGGUGUGCUGGAUAUCCCUUCACUGGUAGCCUGGUAACAUACACUCCCAGGUCUUUCUCUGCCUCUGUGGUGGAUAGUGGAGUGUUUCCCAUGUGGUACUGGUGUGCUGGAUAUCCCUUCACUGGUAGCCUGGUAACAUACACUCCCAGGUCUUUCUCUGCCUGUGGUGGAAAGUGGAGUGUUUCCCAUGUGGUAUUGGUGUGCUGGAUAUCCCUUCACUGGUAGCCUGGUAACAUACACUCCCAGGUCUUUCUCUGCCUGUGGUGGAAAGUGGAGUGUUUCCCAUGUGGUAUUGGUGUGCUGGAUAUCCCUUCACUGGUAGCCUGGUAAUAUACACUCCCAGGUCCUUCUCUGCCUCUAUGGUGGAU